This 506-nucleotide long non-coding RNA is filed under the name Homo sapiens (human). RNAcentral describes it as "non-protein coding lnc-THBD-1:7". The record is from RNAcentral. Lineage: Eukaryota; Metazoa; Chordata; Mammalia; Primates; Hominidae.
UCCAUUUGAAAACUCACGAGAAAAAGGCCCUUGAGGCCUUUUUCCUGGUUAUUGAAGACAUCUUAGGAAACACUUAUGGUGACAAUUAAUCAAGCAAAAAUAGAUCCAGUUUUUCUGAAGAUCAAGCUUAACAUGUGUGCCAUGCUUUAAAAUGUCUUUCCAGGCACUCUCUCCUGCCCACGGAUCUUGCUUGGGAAAGGAAUGGGGCAAGUGGAAAUGGCCAUUUCUUAGAUGAACACAUCAGGGACUUGCUCCAGUCUGAAGUCUAUACAGAGCUAGGCUUUGAAUCCAGUCACGUAACUCAGGUGUGUGUUCAGAGCUUGACGGAUUACCACCAGGCUGGGCCAACAGGGUCGUUUUCAAGUCAGCUAGCCCUAAAAGGGCAAAAAAUUGUUGCAAUGCUCCCAGAUGUAACUCUGACCUGGUAUGGUUCAGGGACGAGGCCACUCACACACACUUGGGCAACUGCUCUUCUCGUGACCAGCCUCUUUCUGUGGGAAUCACUC